UACGGGGGGGGCAAGCGUUGUUCGGAAUUACUGGGCGUAAAGGGCUCGUAGGCGGCCAACUAAGUCGGACGUGAAAUCCCUCGGCUUAACCGGGGAACUGCGUCCGAUACUGGAUGGCUUGAGUUCGGGAGAGGGAUGCGGAAUUCCAGGUGUAGCGGUGAAAUGCGUAGAUAUCUGGAGGAACACCGGUGGCGAAGGCGGCUUUCUGGGUCUUACCUGACGCUGAGGAACGAAAGCCAGGGGAGCGAACGGG
RNAcentral lists this ribosomal RNA (253 nucleotides) under uncultured bacterium. RNAcentral's name for it is "partial 16S ribosomal RNA". It matches the Rfam family "Bacterial small subunit ribosomal RNA", at positions 524 to 776 of the family's 1533-position model. The record is from RNAcentral.